NGCAGUAGGGAAUCUUCGGCAAUGGACGAAAGUCUGACCGAGCAACGCCGCGUGAGUGAAGAAGGUUUUCGGAUCGUAAAACUCUGUUGGUAGAGAAGAACGUUGGUGAGAGUGGAAAGCUCAUCAAGUGACGGUAACUACCCAGAAAGGGACGGCUAACUACGUGCCAG
Molecule: ribosomal RNA, 170 nt
Filed under: uncultured bacterium
Lineage: Bacteria
Description: partial 16S rRNA
Rfam family: Bacterial small subunit ribosomal RNA
Source: RNAcentral